GUCCACGCCGUAAACGAUGAUUACUAGGUGUUCGUGCGUUUAAGACGUAUGAGUGCCCAAGCGAAAGCGAUAAGUAAUCCACCUGGGGGAGUACGACCGCAAGGUUGAAACUCAAAGGAAUUGACGGGGGCCCGCACAAAGCGGUGGAGCAUGUGGUUUAAUUCGAUGGUACGCGAGGAACCUUACCUGGGCUAGAAUGCCCCUGACCGCCCGUGAAAGCGGGUUUCCUUCGGGACAGGGAGCAAGGUGCUGCAUGGCUGUCGU
RNAcentral lists this ribosomal RNA (264 nucleotides) under uncultured bacterium. Its description in RNAcentral is "partial 16S ribosomal RNA". It matches the Rfam family "Bacterial small subunit ribosomal RNA", at positions 793 to 1055 of the family's 1533-position model. The record is from RNAcentral.